UUAACACAUGCAAGUCGAGCGAGAAGUUUUGAAAAGAUUCUUCGGAUGAAAUUUAAAAUGGAAAGCGGCGGACGGGUGAGUAACGCGUAGGCAACCUGCCCCAUACAAAGGGAUAGCAUUUGGAAACGAAUAUUAAUACCUUAUGAAACUUAACUAGUGCAUGCUAGGUAGGUCAAAGAUUUAUCGGUAUGGGAUGGGCCUGCGUCUGAUUAGCUAGUUGGUGAGGUAACGGCUCACCAAGGCGACGAUCAGUAGCCGACCUGAGAGGGUGAACGGCCACAUUGGAACUGAGACACGGUCCAAACUCCUACGGGAGGCAGCAGUGGGGAAUAUUGCACAAUGGGGGAAACCCUGAUGCAGCAACGCCGCGUGAACGAUGAAGGCCUUUGGGUCGUAAAGUUCUGUUCUAGGUGAUGAAAACUGACAGUAACCUAGGAGAAAGCCCGGU
RNAcentral lists this ribosomal RNA (448 nucleotides) under [Eubacterium] brachy. Its description in RNAcentral is "bacterial SSU rRNA". It matches the Rfam family "Bacterial small subunit ribosomal RNA", at positions 48 to 496 of the family's 1533-position model. The record is from RNAcentral. Lineage: Bacteria; Bacillati; Bacillota; Clostridia; Peptostreptococcales; Anaerovoracaceae.